GAAAGUUUAAAAAGAAUUUGUGCUGGCAUACCUUCUCCCAAGAUUUACAUGGAACAGGGAAGGGAAGAAAAGACUGCUACUUCUUUUGGGAUAUAACAGAGUACUUCACACAACAAAAUGUGAUUAGGAAAACGCAAACAGAUGUUUCACCAAACAUCCUUGAUCCAGCCAGUAAAAAUAUUUUUCUCCUGGCAUGCCCACAAGUACAGACUCAUGCGCACUAUAAACGACUUGGAAUUAUUCUACCGACCUAACUGGGUGCUUUUGUUGCUGGGAGAUGUAAUAAGUUUUGAUAUGAUGCCAUACACCCAGCAAUGCCAGUCACUAAACAUUCACAAAUGAUCAUCAUCACUAGCAGCAUUGGCCAUUCCAAAAGGCCUCUAUGAGCCUGUGUCACUGACAAGAAAAAUUGCACAUCUUCCCAAGGAUUAACUCGCCAAUGAGCUGCAAUACAUGGGUUCCCAAGAGACUCAACAGGUUUGAAUGGUGCGCAAGAAGUUGUGAACCAAAAGUGCUCCUGUAUAAUGGAUAACAAAUCCACUCAGAAACAGCAGGUUCAAAGAUUGUUUCAUGCAUUCUGAAAAGCAGAGCACAGUUUCAAAUGAACUUUUGACUAUACAUUUGAUCUUAAAGUUGUGGUUGUGGAAUGCCCAUCAAAGAUCCCUAUUAGCUGGUACAAUCUUCACUAACUUGGCAAGGUCAUAUGACUUGAAGUCUUUUCCAUAACAUAAGCAAAGAUCCAGGGGUGUCAUUCCAUCCUGAAUGUGUAAAGUCAACAGUAUCAGUUUCCCAACUAUAACUUCACGGUCCCUUGCACAGUUAUAUAUGUUUACCUUAUUUCGUCUGUUCUUAUCUGCACCAUUCACUAACAAAACUUUAACUAUAUCUCUGUUUCUACUUUGCACUGCAAUGUGCAACGGUGUCCAGCCUUCCUGUAAGAAAGUUCAAGGAAAUGUUCAAAACUAAGCAUAGCAGCAGAACAUAGAGAUUAAAACAGCUUUGGAACUAUACAUACAUUAUCUGCAACAUUUACAUCAACCUUGUAUUUGACCAAUAACUUCACAGUUUGCAUAGCAGCAACUUGAACUGCAUAAUGCAGAGGGCUAGCACCAUCCGGAUCUCUGACAUGAGGGCUUGCACCUUUUCUUAAAAGAUGACUAAUUACAGACUCCUUUUUACCGAUAAUUGCUUUAUGCAGGGCCGUAAGACCGUCCUUAUCAACACUGUCAAUACUGAGUCCAUCUUCUAGAAGCUUGUCCAUAGAGUGUAUCUGUCCAGAUAGAGCAAGGGUCUGGAGUGGCUUCCAUUUUUCUGUUGAUAUUUUGUCCAGGUUGUAAGUUGCAUUCUGCCACAAAAUUGCUCUUUCUUCUGGUCCUAAAAGCUGUUCAACCUCUGCAGGAAAAAAAACAUCAACUUUAUUGCUCUGGUGGUGAGCAAUUAUAUAAGUGAAAUUGCUAGCAGUAAAACUAGGUGCCAAUGUUAAUCCAUGUCAAUGUGAAAACUUAAUCCACACUAAGUUUAACAUAUUCCACUUUAGUGUGGAAAUCUAACCAACAAUUGAUCACUUGCGUUAGUUGGUACUCAUGUUUCUAAUGAACUUGAUCAAAUCCUGAAAUAGAACUCAGAAGAGCUCAAAAAAAGCCAAGUCUGAUUUAGCCCACAAGAAGAAAUUGUGAAUAAUACUUGUCCACGAGAAGGGCAACUAGACUCUAUGGACAUAAUCCUAUCCAGCUGACAAGCAAUUAUCAGGUCAGAUCAUCAAUCAUGUGAGCCAUCUUUAAGCAGCAUUGCACAGGCUGACUUAUCCAUAUUUUUCUUCCAUUUAUCUAAUUUUAACCUACCUGCUCAUGCAUUUUUUUUUCUUUGGGAACAAACGAGUACCUAAUGUUGUGACUCAUAGUUAGAGAUUCAAGUCAUUGAUUAUAAUGAUACUGAUAAAUUUGUAACUAAUGAUCAUGGACACUAUAGUAAAAGAAUUUAAACAUCAAAUAAGCCUGAGUCAACUAAAUGAAUGUGAAUGUAUAGACACUAGUAAGAGAAUUUAGUAUCAUAAGAUCAUCUUAAAUUCAUGUUCCUUUUUCUUCUCUCCAUUUUUUGAUGAUUGAUUAAAGGAAUAAAUUUAGAAAACGGGAAAAGAAGAUAAUGAAAAGGAACAAAGGAUAAAAGGGGCACCCUUCACAAGAUCCUCCUCAUAACUGUUUUCUGUGGAAUUAUCGACUGAGCUAGUAGUAGAUGUGGCGGCUGUUUCUUUCUCCCAAUCACUCUCAUAAUCCAAGUCAUUUUCUUCCUCUUCUUCAUCUUCUUCAUCAUAAUCACUGUCACUGCCAUCAUCAGGAUCUUCCCAAACUCCCUGUAAUUUUUCUGAGGCUGAGGCCCAAUUUGACUCAAUCACACAGGUACAACGUUUUGAGCGUUUCUUAGCAAGAGAGAAAGCAAAUCUUCCUGUUCUAAGGGUAUUUGAUGCUUUGAAGAGAUUUGAGCGAAAAAUUAAACUUGGGGCAGCGGAAUUAGCUGCAGCUGAAAAUUGAGGAAGCAAAUAAUUGAAAGAAGUGGUAACACCUGUCACCAACAUCUGCU
This 2577-nucleotide unclassified non-coding RNA is filed under the name Hevea brasiliensis (rubber tree). The record is from RNAcentral. Lineage: Eukaryota; Viridiplantae; Streptophyta; Magnoliopsida; Malpighiales; Euphorbiaceae.